GAUGAACGCUGGCGGCGUGCCUAAUACAUGCAAGUCGAGCGAACGGACGAGAAGCUUGCUUCUCUGAUGUUAGCGGCGGACGGGUGAGUAACACGUGGAUAACCUACCUAUAAGACUGGGAUAACUUCGGGAAACCGGAGCUAAUACCGGAUAAUAUUUUGAACCGCAUGGUUCAAUAGUGAAAGACGGCCUUGCUGUCACUUAUAGCUGGAUCUGCGCUGCUUUAGCUAGUUGGUAAGGUAACGGCUUACCAAGGCAACGAUGCGUAGCCGAACUGAGAGGGUGAGCGGCCACACUGGAAGUGAGACCCGGGCCAGGGUCCUUCGGGAGGCAGCAGUAGGGAAUCUUCCGCAAUGGGCGGAAGCCUGACGGAGCAACGCCGCGUGAGUGAUGAAGGUCUUCGGAUCGUAAAACUCUGUUAUUAGGGAAGAACAUAUGUGUAAGUAACUGUGCACAUCUUGACGGUACCUAAUCAGAAAGCCACGGCUAACUACGUG
RNAcentral lists this ribosomal RNA (497 nucleotides) under uncultured bacterium. Its description in RNAcentral is "partial 16S ribosomal RNA". It matches the Rfam family "Bacterial small subunit ribosomal RNA", at positions 28 to 507 of the family's 1533-position model. The record is from RNAcentral.